This 119-nucleotide ribosomal RNA is filed under the name Octodon degus (degu). The record is from RNAcentral. Lineage: Eukaryota; Metazoa; Chordata; Mammalia; Rodentia; Octodontidae.
GUCUACAGCCAUACCACCCUGAACGCGCCCGAUCUCGUCUGAUCUCGGAAGCUGAGCAGGGUUGGUCCUGGUUAGUACUUGGAUGGGAGAACAAGAUGUGACUGCGGAGGAUGAGGUCU